This 355-nucleotide long non-coding RNA is filed under the name Physcomitrium patens. RNAcentral's name for it is "long non-coding RNA (PPAT_LNC005251)". The record is from RNAcentral. Lineage: Eukaryota; Viridiplantae; Streptophyta; Bryopsida; Funariales; Funariaceae.
GGAGUUGGAGAGGACUUUUUCUUCGCUAUACUUUAACUAUACUUUUUGAUAAAUUUCAAGUCUGGAUGAAGGAGUUAUAGACAUUUGAAGACAGUACAUGUAAUUCAAAGGCAGUGAGUCAUUUUAUUGAUAGUAAUGGUUGGAGUCAUAUCUUGAGUUUCUUGGCGAAUUUUUUGCUCAAAAUUUCCAUAAGUGUGAUUUAUUGAGUUAAAAAGCUAUAAAUCAAAGUUUCAUGGUAUUAAAAUACUUAUUUUGUGAGAUAUGAAGAAAUUAGCAUGCAGGUGUAUGUAAGACAAGGUUUAAAGCUACUGUUAGGGUUUUGGCGAUAUCUCAAGAUCCGUAAUGAAUUUGAGGU